ACAACUGACAAGAGAGUGUGUGAACCAGAGAGAAAAAAUGGUUUGAGCACAGAGCAGCGUGUACUUUGUAGUUCUGAAUUUCAAAUUCAAAAUUGAAAUGAUUUAGAUUGUUACUCCAAUCAACAAUUCACGUCUACGUAGGAAAAACGAAAUGUGGAUAAUGGAUAUUGCAAUCGAUUUUGAAAACUUGUAUUAUUCUUCUGUUAUGAAGCCCUGUCCUACUAUCUCAAUUGCUCAAAGGGUUGACCUUCCAGUUUUGCUUGAACUUUGUAGCCUCUUAUUCCAUAUGGCAGAGUGCUGGUUUUUUGUAUAAAACCAUGAAGCAAAUUGAAGAUUGGAAAUUUACAAUGAUUCGAACUACCUGCUGGGAAUGCCAGUCAACAAAAGAAACAGAAAACAAUUUCACUAAUCAAAUUCCUAUUUAAAUAGUAAGAAGUUUAAGGAGGAUAACAGACUGCAUAGAAAAAUAGAAAAUAAGCAAGAAAAAUUGUUUUACAAUGCAAAUUAUUUGUCAAACGGCAACAUUGCUUGCCAAAGUUCUCAUUUAAAGUCCAGCAAGCACAAGAUCUAAAAAUGGCUGUGCUGUGAAGUCUCACAGAAACUAUUUGCAAAUUUAGAUUGCAGUAUGGAUGUAAUUAAAAUGAAAGAUACAUAUUCCAACAUAUUUAUUUGUUUGGAGACAGCAGUUGAGUGAUAUAAUUUCUUCACAAGGAAUAUACUGCCCGCUCACACAUCUAUAAGCUGAUUCCAUGGUAUGCCCACAACUAUUUGCAGGGGUGAGACACAAUUAAACUCUCAUUUGUCAUCAACAAGUAGUAAGUGUUGACUGUUGAAUGUUCAAUCCAUUUCCCUGAAUCGAUAGUAAAGUAUGUUGGUUAUUUUUCUUCUUGACCCUUUUGCUUCGUUAGUGAAGAGACAAAUACUGUUGGAAAUAAUUUCAUUAUCUGCUCAGUUUUUCUGGCCAGUUCAUGUUUUCGACAACUUUCUUGUUUAAAAGCCCUCCAUUUCGACGACGAAAUGAUAGAAGAUAGGCCUAGUUGAUGUUGAUUGCGAUUUCUUCAUCCUCCUCCGAUCGAAAUCUCUUUAAGCACUCACCGUUACGUGGACCAUCCGUAUUUUUAAUGUAAAAUCUAUUCGAUUCAACCAUUUUCUCGAAUUUGUUUUACUGUGAAAGUUUAUUUUAGUUUUUUGUGAAGUUUUUUAAGUCAGUUGCAUGCUUAAAGCAAAAUAUGACAGGUGCGUGGGUUUCAA
Long non-coding RNA from Daphnia pulex (common water flea), 1251 nucleotides. RefSeq lists it as uncharacterized. The record is from RefSeq and is a predicted model, not a curated record. NCBI's taxonomy places the organism in Eukaryota, Metazoa, Arthropoda, Branchiopoda, Diplostraca, Daphniidae. The transcript has 6 exons.